UACGAAGGGGGCUAGCGUUGUUCGGAAUUACUGGGCGUAAAGCGCACGUAGGCGGGUAUUUAAGUCAGGGGUGAAAUCCUGGAGCUCAACUCCAGAACUGCCUUCGAUACUGGAGAGCUUGAGUCCGGGAGAGGUGAGUGGAACUGCGAGUGUAGAGGUGAAAUUCGUAGAUAUUCGCAAGAACACCAGUGGCGAAGGCGGCUCACUGGCCCGGUACUGACGCUGAGGUGCGAAAGCGUGGGGAGCAAACAGG
This 253-nucleotide ribosomal RNA is filed under the name uncultured bacterium. RNAcentral's name for it is "partial 16S ribosomal RNA". It matches the Rfam family "Bacterial small subunit ribosomal RNA", at positions 524 to 776 of the family's 1533-position model. The record is from RNAcentral.